This 253-nucleotide ribosomal RNA is filed under the name uncultured bacterium. RNAcentral describes it as "partial 16S ribosomal RNA". It matches the Rfam family "Bacterial small subunit ribosomal RNA", at positions 524 to 776 of the family's 1533-position model. The record is from RNAcentral.
UACGUAGGUGGCGAGCGUUGUCCGGAUUUACUGGGCGUAAAGAGCGCGCAGGCGGCUGGUCAAGUCCGAUGUGAAAGCUCCCGGCUUAACUGGGAAAUUGCAUCGGAAACUGAUCGGCUGGAAGGUGGGAGAGGGUAGCGGAAUUCCCGGUGUAGUGGUGAUAUGCGUAGAUAUCGGGAGGAACACCUGUGGCGAAGGCGGCUUUCUGGGCCUUACCUGACGCUGAGACGCGAAAGCGUGGGGAGCGAACCGG